RNAcentral lists this ribosomal RNA (301 nucleotides) under uncultured bacterium. RNAcentral describes it as "partial 16S ribosomal RNA". It matches the Rfam family "Bacterial small subunit ribosomal RNA", at positions 509 to 809 of the family's 1533-position model. The record is from RNAcentral.
CAGCAGCCGCGGUAAUACGGAGGGAGCUAGCGUUGUUCGGAAUUACUGGGCGUAAAGCGCACGUAGGCGGCUUUGUAAGUUAGAGGUGAAAGCCUGGGGCUCAACUCCAGAAUUGCCUUUAAGACUGCAUCGCUUGAAUCAUGGGGAGGCGGGUGGAAUUCCGAGUGUAGAGGUGAAAUUCGUAGAUAUUCGGAAGAACACCAGUGGCGAAGGCGGCCCGCUGGACAUGUAUUGACGCUGAGGUGCGAAAGCGUGGGGAGCAAACAGGAUUAGAUACCCCUGUAGUCCCUGUCUCUUAUAU